AACAUUUUAGUAUAAAAAAUAUUGCUGUUUUUGGGGCAGUAGAUGGUGGUGUUA
RNAcentral lists this transfer RNA (54 nucleotides) under Hammerschmidtiella sp. ZengetLiu-2016. Its description in RNAcentral is "tRNA-Gln". Lineage: Eukaryota; Metazoa; Nematoda; Chromadorea; Rhabditida; Thelastomatidae. The record is from RNAcentral.